Molecule: ribosomal RNA, 595 nt
Filed under: uncultured Pseudozyma
Lineage: Eukaryota; Fungi; Basidiomycota; Ustilaginomycetes; Ustilaginales; Ustilaginaceae
Description: LSU rRNA
Rfam family: Eukaryotic large subunit ribosomal RNA
Source: RNAcentral
UAGUACGGCGAGUGAAGAGGGAAGAGCCCAAGAUUGAAAGCUGGCGUCUUCGGCGUCCGCAUUGUAAUCUCAAGAAGUGUUUUCCGCUUCGGACCAUGCCUAAGUCCCUUGGAAAAGGGCAUCAUAGAGGGUGAUAAUCCCGUACAUGGCAUGGAGCGCCCGAAGCUUUGUGAUACGCUUUCUAAGAGUCGAGUUGUUUGGGAAUGCAGCUCAAAAUGGGUGGUAAAUGCCAUCUAAGGCUAAAUAUUGGGGAGAGACCGAUAGCGAACAAGUACAGUGAUGGAAAGAUGAAAAGAACUUUGAAAAGAGAGUUAAACAGUACGUGAAAUUGCCAAAAGGGAAGGGUAGGAGGUCAGAGAUGCGGCCUGGGAUUCAGCCUUGCUUUUGCUUGGUGUUUUUCCCAGAUUGCAGGCCAACGUCGGUUUUGGGCACUGGAGAAGGGUAGGAGGAACGUGGCACCUCUCGGGGUGUGUUAUAGCCUCCUACUGGAUACAGCGACCGAGACCGAGGACAGCAGCGUACUCGCAAGAGCGGGCCUUCGGGCACCUUUACGCUUAGGGCGUUGGCAUAAUGGCCCUCUACCACCCGUCUUGAA